RNAcentral lists this ribosomal RNA (678 nucleotides) under uncultured bacterium. RNAcentral describes it as "bacterial SSU rRNA". It matches the Rfam family "Bacterial small subunit ribosomal RNA", at positions 94 to 792 of the family's 1533-position model. The record is from RNAcentral.
AGUGGCGCACGGGUGCGUAACGCGUAUACACCUACCUUAUACAGGGGUAUAGCCCAGGGAAACUUGGAUUAACACCCCAUAGUUUGGCAUCAUUAAAACUACGGUGGUAUAAGAUGGGUAUGCGUCCCAUUAGCUUGUUGGUGUGGUAACGGCACACCAAGGCAACGAUGGGUAGGGGCCCUGAGAGGGGGAUCCCCCACACUGGUACUGAGACACGGACCAGACUCCUACGGGAGGCAGCAGUGAGGAAUAUUGGACAAUGGGCGGGAGCCUGAUCCAGCCAUGCCGCGUGCAGGAAGACUGCCUAUGGGUUGUAAACUGCUUUUAUACGGGAAGAAACCCACCUACGUGUAGGUGGCUGACGGUACCGUAAGAAUAAGGACCGGCUAACUCCGUGCCAGCAGCCGCGGUAAUACGGAGGGUCCGAGCGUUAUCCGGAAUCAUUGGGUUUAAAGGGUCCGCAGGCGGCCAGAUAAGUCAGUGGUGAAAUUCCGUGGCUCAACCACGGAACUGCCAUUGAUACUGUUUGGCUUGAAUCAGUUCGAGGAUGCCGGAAUGUGUGGUGUAGCGGUGAAAUGCAUAGAUAUCACACAGAACACCAAUUGCGAAGGCAGUGUCCAGACUGUUAUUGACGCUGAUGACGAAGCGUGGGUAGCGACAGGAUUAAAUACCCUGGUA